CCUACGGGUGACUGCAGUGAGGAAUAUUGGUCAAUGGACGAGAGUCUGAACCAGCCAAGUAGCGUGAAGGAUGACUGCCCUAUGGGUUGUAAACUUCUUUUAUAUGGGAAUAAAACGUUCCACGUGUGGGAUUUUGUAUGUACCAUAUGAAUAAGGAUCGGCUAACUCCGUGCCAGCAGCCGCGGUAAUACGGAGGAUCCGAGCGUUAUCCGGGUUUAUUGGGUUUAAAGGGAGCGUAGGGGGAUUGUUAAGUCAGUUGUGAAAGUUUGCGGCUCAACCGUAAAAUUGCAGUUGAAACUGGCAGUCUUGAGUACAGUAGAGGUGGGCGGAAUUCGUGGUGUAGCGGUGAAAUGCUUAGAUAUCACGAAGAACUCCGAUUGCGAAGGCAGUUCACUGGACUGCAACUGACACUGAGGCUCGAAAGUGUGGGUAUCAAACAGGAUUAGAUACCCCUGUAGUC
This 460-nucleotide ribosomal RNA is filed under the name uncultured bacterium. RNAcentral describes it as "partial 16S ribosomal RNA". It matches the Rfam family "Bacterial small subunit ribosomal RNA", at positions 338 to 795 of the family's 1533-position model. The record is from RNAcentral.